GAACCUAAGACCCAGAAAUCUAACUGGAUGG
This 31-nucleotide non-coding RNA is filed under the name Rattus norvegicus (Norway rat). The record is from RNAcentral. Lineage: Eukaryota; Metazoa; Chordata; Mammalia; Rodentia; Muridae.